Molecule: ribosomal RNA, 914 nt
Filed under: Cobetia marina
Lineage: Bacteria; Pseudomonadati; Pseudomonadota; Gammaproteobacteria; Oceanospirillales; Halomonadaceae
Also listed under: 1 other name
Description: bacterial SSU rRNA
Rfam family: Bacterial small subunit ribosomal RNA
Source: RNAcentral
GCGUUAAUCGGAAUUACUGGGCGUAAAGCGCGCGUAGGUGGCUAAGUCAGCCAGGUGUGAAAGCCCCGGGCUCAACCUGGGAACGGCAUCUGGAACUGCUUGGCUAGAGUGCAGGAGAGGAAGGUAGAAUUCCCGGUGUAGCGGUGAAAUGCGUAGAGAUCGGGAGGAAUACCAGUGGCGAAGGCGGCCUUCUGGACUGACACUGACACUGAGGUGCGAAAGCGUGGGUAGCAAACAGGAUUAGAUACCCUGGUAGUCCACGCCGUAAACGAUGUCAACUAGCCGUUGGGUCCCUUGAGGACUUAGUGGCGCAGCUAACGCAAUAAGUUGACCGCCUGGGGAGUACGGCCGCAAGGUUAAAACUCAAAUGAAUUGACGGGGGCCCGCACAAGCGGUGGAGCAUGUGGUUUAAUUCGAUGCAACGCGAAGAACCUUACCUACCCUUGACAUCCAGAGGACUUUCCAGAGAUGGAUUGGUGCCUUCGGGAACUCUGAGACAGGUGCUGCAUGGCUGUCGUCAGCUCGUGUUGUGAAAUGUUGGGUUAAGUCCCGUAACGAGCGCAACCCCUAUCCUUAUUUGCCAGCGAGUCAUGUCGGGAACUCUAAGGAGACUGCCGGUGACAAACCGGAGGAAGGUGGGGACGACGUCAAGUCAUCAUGGCCCUUACGGGUAGGGCUACACACGUGCUACAAUGGCAAGUACAAAGGGUUGCAAUACGGCGACGUGGAGCCAAUCCCAUAAAGCUUGCCUCAGUCCGGAUUGGAGUCUGCAACUCGACUCCAUGAAGUCGGAAUCGCUAGUAAUCGUGGAUCAGAAUGCCACGGUGAAUACGUUCCCGGGCCUUGUACACACCGCCCGUCACACCAUGGGAGUGGACUGCACCAGAAGUGGUUAGCCUAACCUCGGGAGGGCG